Ribosomal RNA from Coregonus clupeaformis (lake whitefish), 120 nucleotides. The record is from RefSeq and is a predicted model, not a curated record. Lineage: Eukaryota; Metazoa; Chordata; Actinopteri; Salmoniformes; Salmonidae.
ACUUACGGCCAUACCAGCCUGAACACGCCCGAUCUCGUCAGAUCUCGGAAGCUAAGCAGGUUUAGGGCUGGGUUAGUACUUGGAUGGGGGACCACCUUGGAAUCCCAGUUGCUGUAAAGC